This 390-nucleotide ribosomal RNA is filed under the name uncultured bacterium. Its description in RNAcentral is "bacterial SSU rRNA". It matches the Rfam family "Bacterial small subunit ribosomal RNA", at positions 28 to 417 of the family's 1533-position model. The record is from RNAcentral.
GACGAACGCUGGCGGCGUGCUUAACACAUGCAAGUCGAGCGGUAAGGCCCUUUCGGGGGUACGACGAGCGGCGAACGGGUGAGUAACACGUGGGUGACCUGCCCUCAGCUCUGGGAUAAGCCUGGGAAACGUGGGUCUAAUACCGGAUAUGACUCCAUGACGCAUGUUGUGGGGUGGAAAGCCUUGUGCGGCUAGGGAUGGGCCCGCGGCCUAUCAGCUUGUUGGUGGGGUGAUGGCCUACCAAGGCGACGACGGGUAGCCGGCCUGAGAGGGCGACCGGCCACACUGGGACUGAGACACGGCCCAGACUCCUACGGGAGGCAGCAGUGGGGAAUCUUGCGCAAUGGGCGAAAGCCUGACGCAGCGACGCCGCGUGAGGGAUGACGGCCU